This 1119-nucleotide ribosomal RNA is filed under the name Salmonella enterica. Its description in RNAcentral is "bacterial LSU rRNA". It matches the Rfam family "Bacterial large subunit ribosomal RNA", at positions 140 to 1298 of the family's 2925-position model. Lineage: Bacteria; Pseudomonadati; Pseudomonadota; Gammaproteobacteria; Enterobacterales; Enterobacteriaceae. The record is from RNAcentral.
UCGUCACACUAUCAUUAACUGAAUCCAUAGGUUAAUGAGGCGAACCGGGGGAACUGAAACAUCUAAGUACCCCGAGGAAAAGAAAUCAACCGAGAUUCCCCCAGUAGCGGCGAGCGAACGGGGAGGAGCCCAGAGCCUGAAUCAGCAUGUGUGUUAGUGGAAGCGUCUGGAAAGGCGCGCGAUACAGGGUGACAGCCCCGUACACAAAAGCGCAUGUGUUGUGAGCUCGAUGAGUAGGGCGGGACACGUGGUAUCCUGUCUGAAUAUGGGGGGACCAUCCUCCAAGGCUAAAUACUCCUGACUGACCGAUAGUGAACCAGUACCGUGAGGGAAAGGCGAAAAGAACCCCGGCGAGGGGAGUGAAAAAGAACCUGAAACCGUGUACGUACAAGCAGUGGGAGCACCCUUUGGGGUGUGACUGCGUACCUUUUGUAUAAUGGGUCAGCGACUUAUAUUCUGUAGCAAGGUUAACCGAAUAGGGGAGCCGGAGGGAAACCGAGUCUUAAUUGGGCGUUAAGUUGCAGGGUAUAGACCCGAAACCCGGUGAUCUAGCCAUGGGCAGGUUGAAGGUUGGGUAACACUAACUGGAGGACCGAACCGACUAAUGUUGAAAAAUUAGCGGAUGACCUGUGGCUGGGGGUGAAAGGCCAAUCAAACCGGGAGAUAGCUGGUUCUCCCCGAAAGCUAUUUAGGUAGCGCCUCGUGAAUUCAUCUCCGGGGGUAGAGCACUGUUUCGGCUAGGGGGCCAUCCCGGCUUACCAACCCGAUGCAAACUGCGAAUACCGGAGAAUGUUAUCACGGGAGACACACGGCGGGUGCUAACGUCCGUCGUGAAGAGGGAAACAACCCAGACCGCCAGCUAAGGUCCCAAAGUCAUAGUUAAGUGGGAAACGAUGUGGGAAGGCCCAGACAGCCAGGAUGUUGGCUUAGAAGCAGCCAUCAUUUAAAGAAAGCGUAAUAGCUCACUGGUCGAGUCGGCCUGCGCGGAAGAUGUAACGGGGCUAAACUAUGCACCGAAGCUGCGGCAGCGACACUAUGUGUUGUUGGGUAGGGGAGCGUUCUGUAAGCCUGUGAAGGUGUGUCGUGAGGCAUGCUGGAGGUAUCAGAAGUGCGAAUGCU